RNAcentral lists this ribosomal RNA (420 nucleotides) under Clostridioides difficile. RNAcentral's name for it is "bacterial LSU rRNA". It matches the Rfam family "Bacterial large subunit ribosomal RNA", at positions 2085 to 2503 of the family's 2925-position model. Lineage: Bacteria; Bacillati; Bacillota; Clostridia; Peptostreptococcales; Peptostreptococcaceae. The record is from RNAcentral.
AAGACCCCAUGGAGCUUUACUGUAGCUUGACAUUGGGUCUUGGUACUACAUGUACAGGAUAGGUGGGAGGCUUUGAAACCAGGACGCCAGUUUUGGCGGAGCCAUCCUUGGGAUACCACCCUUGUAGUACUGGGACUCUAACCAUAGGCCAUGAAUCUGGUCUUGGGACACUGUCAGGUGGGCAGUUUGACUGGGGCGGUCGCCUCCCAAAAGGUAACGGAGGCGCUCAAAGGUUCUCUCAGUACGGGCGGAAAUCGUACGUAGAGUGUAAAGGCAAAAGAGAGCUUGAUUGCAAGACAUACAGGUCGAGCAAGGAUGAAAAUCGGACUUAGUGAUCCGAUGAGUCGGCGUGGAAGGGCCAUCGCUCAACGGAUAAAGGCUACCGUGGGGAUAACAGGCUUAUCUCCCCCAAGAGUCCAC